AAGACGCACGCAGGCGGUCUGUUAAGCUAGAUGUGAAAGCCCCGCGCUCAACGUGGGAGGGUCAUUUAGAACUGGCAGACUAGAGUCUUGGAGAGGGGAGUGGAAUUCCAGGUGUAGCGGUGAAAUGCGUAGAGAUCUGGAGGAACAUCAAUGGCGAAGGCAACUCCCUGGCCAAAGACUGACGCUCAUGUGCGAAAGUGUGGGUAGCGAACAGGAUUAGAUACCCUGGUAGUCCACACCGUAAACGCUGUCUACUAGCUGUUUGUGGAUUUAAUCCGUGAGUAGCGAAGCUAACGCGAUAAGUAGACCGCCUGGGGAGUACGGCCGCAAGGUUAAAACUCAAAUGAAUUGACGGGGGCCCGCACAAGCGGUGGAGCAUGUGGUUUAAUUCGAUGCAACGCGAAAAACCUUACCUACUCUUGACAUACUUGGAAACUCUUGUAAUGAGAGUGUGCCUUUUGGAACCAAGAUACAGGUGCUGCAUGGCU
This 488-nucleotide ribosomal RNA is filed under the name uncultured Glaciecola sp. RNAcentral describes it as "bacterial SSU rRNA". It matches the Rfam family "Bacterial small subunit ribosomal RNA", at positions 563 to 1050 of the family's 1533-position model. Lineage: Bacteria; Pseudomonadati; Pseudomonadota; Gammaproteobacteria; Alteromonadales; Alteromonadaceae. The record is from RNAcentral.